UUGGAGGGCAAGUCUGGUGCCAGCAGCCGCGGUAAUUCCAGCUCCAAUAGCGUAUAUUAAAGUUGUUGCAGUUAAAAAGCUCGUAGUUGAAUUUCGAGAUCAGUACGCUGGUCGUGCCUUCGGUAUGCACUGGUGUCACUGGUUUCUCCCUUCUGAAGAACCGUCAUGCCAUUCAGUUGGUGUGGCGGGGAAUCAGGACUGUUACUUUGAAAAAAUUAGAGUGUUUAAAGCAGGCUCGCGCUUGAAUACAUUAGCAUGGAAUAAUGAAAUAGGACGUUUGACCCUAUUUUGUUGGUUUCUAGGAUCGACGUAAUGAUUAAUAGGGAUAGUUGGGGGCAUUAGUAUUCGAUUGUCAGAGGUGAAAUUCUUGGAUUUAUUGAAGACUAACUAUUGCGAAAGCAUUUGCCAAGGAUGUUUUCAUUAAUCAAGAACGAAAGUUAGGGGAUCGAAGACGAUCAGAUACCGUCGUAGUCUUAACCAUAAACUAUGCCGACUAGGGAUCGGAUGAUGUUAAUUUUUUAAUGACUCAUUCGGCGCCUUACGGGAAAC
RNAcentral lists this ribosomal RNA (549 nucleotides) under uncultured Glomus. RNAcentral describes it as "SSU rRNA". It matches the Rfam family "Eukaryotic small subunit ribosomal RNA", at positions 548 to 1098 of the family's 1831-position model. Lineage: Eukaryota; Fungi; Glomeromycota; Glomeromycetes; Glomerales; Glomeraceae. The record is from RNAcentral.